Long non-coding RNA from Rhinopithecus roxellana (golden snub-nosed monkey), 347 nucleotides. RefSeq lists it as uncharacterized. The transcript is spliced from 3 exons. The record is from RefSeq and is a predicted model, not a curated record. Lineage: Eukaryota; Metazoa; Chordata; Mammalia; Primates; Cercopithecidae.
ACAGUGGAAAUGAAGGUCUCAAAAGCUGGGUGAUGGUUCAACUGGACCCAGCAUGUUAGCAACCGCGUGUUUGAACAGAAGGAAAUGAAAAAUAAAGUCGAAGGACAAGGGAAGGAAAUUGGGAUCUCUUUUCAAGGAGGCACAGAAUGUUGGCUUUACCUGUCACUAUCCUCACAGCCUGAUUAAAGGAAUGAGGUCUCACCGUAUUGCCCAGGCUAGAGUGCAGUGGCUAUUCACAGGCACGAGCACAGUACACUACAGUCUCAAGCCUCCCGAGUAGCAAGGACUACAGGCAAGUGCCAACGUGCCUGGCAAAGUGGCAUAUCUUCGCCUUAAGAGGCCUUUUC